RNAcentral lists this ribosomal RNA (457 nucleotides) under uncultured Spirochaeta sp. Its description in RNAcentral is "bacterial SSU rRNA". It matches the Rfam family "Bacterial small subunit ribosomal RNA", at positions 923 to 1382 of the family's 1533-position model. Lineage: Bacteria; Pseudomonadati; Spirochaetota; Spirochaetia; Spirochaetales; Spirochaetaceae. The record is from RNAcentral.
GCACAAGCGGUGGAGCAUGUGGUUUAAUUCGAUGGUACGCGAGAAACCUUACCAGGGCUUGACAUACGCUGGAAGCGGUCCGAAAGGAUCGUGCCGCUUGCGGCCGGCGUACAGGUGCUGCAUGGCUGUCGUCAGCUCGUGCUGUGAAGUGUUGGGUUAAGUCCCGCAACGAGCGCAACCCCUGCUGUCUGUUGCCACCACGAGAGGUGGGGACUCAGGCGGAACUGCCGGUGACAAACCGGAGGAAGGUGGGACGACGUCAAGUCAUCAUGGCCCUUAUGUCCUGGGCUACACACGUGCUACAAUGGCCGGUACAGAGCGCAGCGAAGCCGCGAGGCAAAGCGAAUCGCAAAAAGCCGGUCUCAGUACGGAUUGGAGUCUGAAACCCGACUCCAUGAAGUUGGAAUCGCUAGUAAUCGCGCAUCAGCAUGGCGCGGUGAAUACGUUCCCGGGCCUU